GAAAUGCGAUAAGUAAUGUGAAUUGCAGAAUUCAGUGAAUCAUCGAAUCUUUGAACGCACAUUGCGCCCGCCAGUAUUCUGGCGGGCAUGCCUGUCCGAGCGUCAUUUCAACCAUCAAGCCCCCGGGCUUGUGUUGGGGACCUGCGGCUGCCCGCAGGCCCUGAAAUCCAGUGGCGGGCUCGCUGUCACACCGAGCGUAGUAGCAAUCACCUCGCUCAGGGCGUGCUGCGGGUUCCGGCCGUUAAACAGCCUUACAAAACCCAAGGUUGACCUCGGAUCAGGUAGGAAGACCCGCUGAACUUAAGC
This 306-nucleotide unclassified non-coding RNA is filed under the name plant metagenome. RNAcentral's name for it is "partial contains 5.8S ribosomal RNA, internal transcribed spacer 2, and large subunit ribosomal RNA". The stretch from base 1 to 105 matches the Rfam family "5.8S ribosomal RNA", at positions 50 to 154 of the family's 154-position model. The record is from RNAcentral.